Molecule: unclassified non-coding RNA, 541 nt
Filed under: Fusarium solani
Lineage: Eukaryota; Fungi; Ascomycota; Sordariomycetes; Hypocreales; Nectriaceae
Description: sequence contains ITS1, 5.8S rRNA gene, ITS2
Rfam family: 5.8S ribosomal RNA (bases 169-322)
Source: RNAcentral
UGCGGAGGGAUCAUUACCGAGUUAUACAACUCAUCAACCCUGUGAACAUACCUAAAACGUUGCUUCGGCGGGAACAGACGGCCCCGUAACACGGGCCGCCCCCGCCAGAGGACCCCCUAACUCUGUUUCUAUUAUGUUUCUUCUGAGUAAAACAAGCAAAUAAAUUAAAACUUUCAACAACGGAUCUCUUGGCUCUGGCAUCGAUGAAGAACGCAGCGAAAUGCGAUAAGUAAUGUGAAUUGCAGAAUUCAGUGAAUCAUCGAAUCUUUGAACGCACAUUGCGCCCGCCAGUAUUCUGGCGGGCAUGCCUGUUCGAGCGUCAUUACAACCCUCAGGCCCCCGGGCCUGGCGUUGGGGAUCGGCGAGGCGCCCCCUGCGGGCACACGCCGUCCCCCAAAUACAGUGGCGGUCCCGCCGCAGCUUCCAUUGCGUAGUAGCUAACACCUCGCAACUGGAGAGCGGCGCGGCCACGCCGUAAAACACCCAACUUCUGAAUGUUGACCUCGAAUCAGGUAGGAAUACCCGCUGAACUUAAGCAUAU